This 492-nucleotide ribosomal RNA is filed under the name uncultured bacterium. RNAcentral describes it as "partial 16S ribosomal RNA". It matches the Rfam family "Bacterial small subunit ribosomal RNA", at positions 29 to 507 of the family's 1533-position model. The record is from RNAcentral.
AUUGAACGCUGGCGGCAUGCUUUACACAUGCAAGUCGAACGGUAACAGGCCUUCUGGUGCUGACGAGUGGCGAACGGGUGAGUAAUGCAUCGGAACGUACCCAGAGGUGGGGGAUAACGCAGCGAAAGCUGUGCUAAUACCGCAUGUGAUCUGAGGAUGAAAGCGGGGGACCGAGCAGCAAUGUUUGGCCUCGCGCCUUUGGAGCGGCCGAUGUCGGAUUAGCUAGUUGGUGGGGUAAAGGCCUACCAAGGCGACGAUCCGUAGCUGGUCUGAGAGGACGACCAGCCACACUGGGACUGAGACACGGCCCAGACUCCUACGGGAGGCAGCAGUGGGGAAUUUUGGACAAAGGGCGCAAGCCUGAUCCAGCAAGGCCGCGUGCGGGAAGAAGGCCUUCGGGUUGUAAACCGCUUUUGGCAGGAACGAAACGGUGUCCGCUAAUACCGGGCGCUAAUGACGGUACCUGCAGAAUAAGCACCGGCUAACUACGUG